Molecule: ribosomal RNA, 253 nt
Filed under: uncultured bacterium
Lineage: Bacteria
Description: partial 16S ribosomal RNA
Rfam family: Bacterial small subunit ribosomal RNA
Source: RNAcentral
UACGGAGGAUGCGAGCGUUAUCCGGAUUUAUUGGGUUUAAAGGGUGCGUAGGCUGUUAUAUAAGUCAGCGGUGAAAUAUUCGGGCUUAACCGGGAUACUGCCGUUGAUACUGUAUAGCUGGAAUAUGGUUGCUGUGGGUGGAAUGUGUGGUGUAGCGGUGAAAUGCAUAGAUAUCACACAGAAUAUCGAUUGCGAAGGCAACUCACAAAGCCAUUAUUGACGCUGAUGCACGAAAGUGUGGGGAUCAAACAGG